CCCGCACAAGCAGCGGAGCGUGUGGUUUAAUUCGAUGUUACACGAAGAACCUUACCAGGGUUUGACAUGCAAGUGGUAGGAAGCCGAAAGGUGACCGACCCUUCGGGGAGCUUGCACAGGUGCUGCAUGGCUGUCGUCAGCUCGUGUCGUGAGAUGUUCGGUUAAGUCCGCUAACGAGCGCAACCCUCGCUGUGUGUUAUAUGUGUCACACGGGACUGCCGGUCUUAAGCCGGAGGAAGGUGGGGAUGAUGUCAAGUCAGCAUGGCCUUUAUAUCCUGGGCUACACACACGCUACAAUGGCCAACACAAUAGGUUGCUAAGCCGCGAGGUGGCGCCAAUCCAUAAAGUUGGUCUCAGUUCAGAUUGUAGGCUGCAACCCGCCUGCAUGAAGAUGGAGUUGCUGGUAACCGCAGGUCAGCUAUACUGCGGUGAAUACGUUCCCGGGGCUU
Molecule: ribosomal RNA, 449 nt
Filed under: uncultured Leptolinea sp.
Lineage: Bacteria; Bacillati; Chloroflexota; Anaerolineae; Anaerolineales; Anaerolineaceae
Description: bacterial SSU rRNA
Rfam family: Bacterial small subunit ribosomal RNA
Source: RNAcentral